Molecule: ribosomal RNA, 393 nt
Filed under: uncultured Gammaproteobacteria bacterium
Lineage: Bacteria; Pseudomonadati; Pseudomonadota; Gammaproteobacteria
Description: bacterial SSU rRNA
Rfam family: Bacterial small subunit ribosomal RNA
Source: RNAcentral
AAUGGGCGAAAGCCUGACGGAGCGAUGCCGCGUGGUGGAUGAAGGCCUUCGGGUUGUAAACACCUGUCAGAGAGGUGGAAAUGUUGACCUAAUCUCAGAGGAAGUCCGGGCUAAGUUCGUGCCAGCAGCCGCGGUAAUACGAACCGGACAAACGUUAUUCGGAAUCACUGGGCUUAAAGAGUACGUAGGCGGCCUUGCAAGUUGGGUGUGAAAUCCCACGGCUCAACCGUGGAACUGCGCUCAAAACUGCAAGGCUUGAGGGAGACAGGGGUAAGCGGAACUCACAGUGGAGCGGUGAAAUGCGUUGAUAUUGUGAGGAACACCGGUGGCGAAGGCGGCUUACUGGGUCUCUUCUGACGCUGAGGUACGAAAGCUAGGGUAGCGAACGGGAUU